AGAGCUCUCCAGAACCCCGCCGCCAACUCGCAGGGCCACCACUCCCAAGUCUUAGCGACACCUCCAAAGAUGGGCCACCCGCUGCUGCAGCCACACCAGGCAGCUGCUUUUGGAGAGGAUGAAAAGCGAGCCCAACAGGACACCCUGGUGGUGACACAAAUAAAAAUAUGAUUGCACACCAGCCCCAGCAAUGCAGCAAGAGAUGUAAGGAGCUAUCAUCAACCCGAAGAGGAAGUGGUGGACCAGCCCUGCCUGAUGUGGAGAACGGGGUACACGUGUCUGCCAGUCUGUCUGAAACGGGGGAUUCCAGACCUCAGCUGAAAGUUUAGAGUGGCCUUUUCACCCACGAGGGAACUCGAGGAAGCCUGGCACGGGUUGGCUGCUUCUGCUCACAUGUGACCACCGUGGCUGCCAGCACCAAGUGCAAAGGACCUUCUGAUGGCCAGCACCCACCACCUUCAGACUGCCUCGCCUUCCACCACAGACUUCCGAUUCUCGGGGAAAUCAUCUGAUUGGCUCGGCCUGAUUCAGAAAAUCUGUGCCCAGCUGAGGCACGCUGCCUGGCCAGAAUUACUUCUUCUCCUGUCCUGCCAGGGAUCCUCCUGUAGUUUAGAAGCUGGUCUAAAGGCAGCUACCCCUCGGAGCUCCUGGAUUCCCUUCGUCUGCAGUCAGUCCCCACUGUUCACCGUGGUUGUGUUCUUUAAAGCCUCCGCAAACACUGAAGGAGCAAACACUGAACUCCUGCUCCCAGAGAAAACAGAGGCUUAGGCUCCUGCAAGCCACGGGAAACAUUUCUCAUUAACUGCUCAAUAUGUUAACUGAUCAACUCUUUCCACUCAAGGAUACCUUCUGUAGCCAAAAAGGACCUGCUGUAUAACCCAAGGAACUCCACCCCAAAUUCUGUGGGCAAAGAACCCGAAAAAGAAUGGGUGUGUGUAUGUGUAUAACCGAGUCACUUUGUUGUAUGGCAGAAACUGUCACAGCAUUGUAAAUCAACUGUACUUCAGUAAAACUUUAAAACAUGAAAAGAAAAAAAAAAAAAAGAUUCACCCAUAGGAUAAAGAAAUAAAGAUGCCUUAUUCCCUG
RNAcentral lists this long non-coding RNA (1086 nucleotides) under Sus scrofa (pig). RNAcentral describes it as "lncRNA (ENSSSCG00015000160.1)". The record is from RNAcentral. Lineage: Eukaryota; Metazoa; Chordata; Mammalia; Artiodactyla; Suidae.